RNAcentral lists this long non-coding RNA (1808 nucleotides) under Malus domestica (apple). Its description in RNAcentral is "long non-coding RNA (MDOM_LNC007664)". Lineage: Eukaryota; Viridiplantae; Streptophyta; Magnoliopsida; Rosales; Rosaceae. The record is from RNAcentral.
GAUAACCCCAAGCAUCUUCGUUCACAGUGAAUUGAGGAUGUUGAUGAGUUUGAUAUCCGUGCCCAUAAGGCACACCACAUGUAGGGACAUUUUGCAUUGUAGUCCUUCCGGCAAUCUGUGACAAUUGAGAAGUAAGAUUCGCCAAUUGAGCUUGAAUGUUAGCAAAAUCCAUGUCUUACUUCUCUAGACCCUGAAAUCAAAGAAAACUAAAUCAAAUAUCAAAAGUAACACAAAACAAGGAAAACAAAACUAAGUCAGAAACUAAAACAAAAACAAACUAAACAAACAGAAAAGAACCAAGGGAUUAGCAAAGUUGCUAAUCCCCGGCAACGGCGCCAAAAUUUGAUGUGAGAAUUACUUGACACACAAAUUAACCCUCUUUUUGACAAUUGUAGUAUAGAUGUAAGUAGGGUAUCGUUCUAGGCCGGGGAUUAGGAGGGAUUGCUAAUCUAUUCUAAAUUAAUUUAAAAUAUUAAACAAGACUCAAGGACACAAAACUAGGCUAAAAACUCUAAUAACUCGAAACACACUUAGAAUGACUCAAAAUAAUGAAAACAAUCAAAUUAGACACUAGGAACUGAAAUGGACGGAAAUUGAAUUAAAAUACUAACAACAAUGAAAACUAACUAAAUAAUAUAAUUUAAUAAUGGGGGGGUUUGGUUUUGACGAGAAGUAAAUUAAACUUAAAUAAAUUACAGAAUUGACAAAAGCAUGAAAUUAAGGUGAAAGGAUAGGUGACGGACUAGCUAGAAGGUUUUUCUCCACACAUGACACAUAUGCAACCUAAAUUGAUUUUCAGUUGUUCUUUCAAUAAAUUGUGAAUGACAAUGUUCCAAGUUAAUUAGGUCCGCUUAAAUUAACUCUUAGAUUUCCCUAGAUUCAUUGGAUUGAAUGGAAUACGCAUUACAACCAAAUUAUUCCUCAUCAAAAUCCCUAACUAUGGAAUACGCAUGAUAGAGACAUUCAACAAAGAUCAUUAAGUUCAACGGAAAUCAUAAACAUUGACUAGGCAUUCAUAACUAUGGAAUACGCAUGUUAAUCCAGCCUAGAAUCCACUUAACACGAUUGUGGAUAACAACCUUCACUACUUGUGAAUAUAAGUUCAUAACGAUUAGGUGAAACUCCCUUAUAUUCUAGCAUCAAAUUCAUGCAUGAAAAUUAAGCGUGCACUCUUAAUCGACAUACACAAAUUAGUUAUCAAUCAAGCAGUUAAGCAAAUUAAAUCACAACUCAGAAAUCACAACUGAAGGUAAUCAAUUCAUAUUACAAAUAUAUUCAUGGCUUUGAAUUAACCUCUAGCCAAAAAGAAAUUAGUUCCACAUGUUUAACAUAAUUGAACAGCAAGUUAAAUUAAACAUGAACAUAGAAUUAAAAGAAGAAAGAAUUCCAAACACUCUAAUAGUUGCAGAUUGCAUAAGCACGGCACUACUCCUCCUCUCCUUCAAUGGUGGCGGCACAAGGUGGUUAUGGUGGUUGAAUGGUUGGUUAUAUGGAGGAAUGGAUGGGGAAGGUUUAGAUAUGUAGGGAGAGGCAAAGGAAGGCUUGGAGAAUGGUUAAUUUCUGGAUGAUUUGAAUGAGGUUGCUGCCAUGGUAUUUAUAGGAAAAGGAUGGACUUGUUUAACACAAAAUUUUGGUGGAAUUGAGUAGGUGAGCAUGGCAAAGAGUGGGAAUUGUUGGUGGGUUAGGUAUUGAGUCAUCCAUUCACAUGUCAUGGUGAGUUAAGCAUUGCAUCAUCCACUCACAUGUCAUGGUGAUUUAAGCAUUGCAUCAUCACUCAAAUUUCUGGUGAAAGUGAAUCAAUGCCCACG